GUGGCAGUGGCUCAGGAGGUAGAGCAGUUGACUGGGGAUUGGAAGGGCCCUAGUUCAAAUCUAGCUCCUCCU
Molecule: non-coding RNA, 72 nt
Organism: Megalops atlanticus (tarpon)
Lineage: Eukaryota; Metazoa; Chordata; Actinopteri; Elopiformes; Megalopidae
Source: the annotation of a GenBank genome assembly